This 468-nucleotide ribosomal RNA is filed under the name uncultured bacterium. RNAcentral's name for it is "partial 16S ribosomal RNA". It matches the Rfam family "Bacterial small subunit ribosomal RNA", at positions 28 to 507 of the family's 1533-position model. The record is from RNAcentral.
GACGAACGCUGGCGGCGUGCUUAACACAUGCAAGUCGAACGGAAAGGCCCUGCUUUUGUGGGGUGCUCGAGUGGCGAACGGGUGAGUAACACGUGAGUAACCUGCCCUUGCCUUUGGGAUAACUUCAGGAAACUGGUGCUAAUACCGGAUAGGAGCUCCUGCUGCAUGGUGGGGGUUGGAAGGUUUCGGCGGUUGGGGAUGGUCUGGCGGCUUAUCAGCUUGUUGGUGGGGUAGUGGCUUACCAUGGCUUUGACGGGUAGCCGGCCUGAGGGGGUGACCGGCCACAUUGGGACUGAGAUACGGCCCAGACUCCUACGGGAGGCAGCAGUGGGGAAUAUUGCACAAUGGGCGGAAGCCUGAUGCAGCAACGCCGCGUGCGGGAUGACGGCCUUCGGGUUGUAAACCGCUUUCGCCUGUGACGAAGCGUGAGUGACGGUAAUGGGUAAAGAAGCACCGGCUAACUACGUG